This 319-nucleotide ribosomal RNA is filed under the name uncultured eukaryote. RNAcentral's name for it is "partial 18S ribosomal RNA". It matches the Rfam family "Eukaryotic small subunit ribosomal RNA", at positions 1470 to 1796 of the family's 1831-position model. The record is from RNAcentral.
CCCUUAGAUGUUCUGGGCAGCACGCGCGCUACAAUGGUCUUCGCAAACGGAUGCAUUCUCGAAGGAGAAUGCCAAUCUUGGACUCUAUGCCUUGGUCGGGACAGUUGCUUGCAAUUUUUCGACUCGAACCAGGAAUUCCUUGUAAUCGUGAUUCAUCACAUCACGAUGAAUACGUCCCUGCCCUUUGUACACACCGCCCGUCGCUCCUACCGAUCGAAGAGUUAGGUGAAUUGUUUUGAUCGAUAAGAUUUGACUAUGGUCAACUCUCGUUGUGAAAUUCUCUGAAUCUGACUGUUUAGAGGAAGGAAAAGUCGUAACA